Unclassified non-coding RNA from Macaca fascicularis (crab-eating macaque), 148 nucleotides. It matches the Rfam family "Metazoan signal recognition particle RNA". From Rfam's summary of the family: The signal recognition particle (SRP) is a universally conserved ribonucleoprotein. The record is from Ensembl. Lineage: Eukaryota; Metazoa; Chordata; Mammalia; Primates; Cercopithecidae.
GCUGGGCAUAGUGGCCUGUGCCUGUAAUCCCAGCUACUCAGGAGGCUGAGGCAGGAGACUUGCUUGAACCCAGGAAGCAGAGGUUGCAGUGAGCCGAGAUUGUGCCACUGCACUCUGGCAUGGGUGGCAGAGCAAGACUCUGUCUCAA